GGCCUUGACAUACUAAGAACUUUCCAGAGAUGGAUUUGGUGCCUUCGGGAACUUAGAUACAGGUGCUGCAUGGCUGUCGUCAGCUCGUGUCGUGAGAUGUUGGGUUAAGUCCCGCAACGAGCGCAACCCUUUUCCUUAUUUGCCAGCGGGUCAUGCCGGGAACUUUAAGGAUACUGCCAGUGACAAACUGGAGGAAGGCGGGACGACGUCAAGUCAUCAUGGCCCUUACGGCCAGGGCUACACACGUGCUACAAUGGUCGGUACAAAGGGUUGCUACCUCGCGAGAGGAUGCUAAUCUCAAAAAGCCGAUCGUAGUCCGGAUCGCAGUCUGCAACUCGACUGCGUGAAGUCGGAAUCGCUAGUAAUCGCGGAUCAGAAUGCCGCGGUGAAUACGUUCCCGGGCCUUGUACACACCGCCCGUCACACCAUGGGAGUUUGUUGCACCAGAAGUAGGUAGUCUAACCGCAAGGAGGACGCUUACCACGGUGUGGCCGAUGACUGGGGUGAAGUCGUAACAAGGUAGGCGUAGAUGA
Molecule: ribosomal RNA, 533 nt
Filed under: uncultured bacterium
Lineage: Bacteria
Description: bacterial SSU rRNA
Rfam family: Bacterial small subunit ribosomal RNA
Source: RNAcentral